AUGCUGAAAUGAUGUGUUUGCAACUGAUGUGGUAUGGCGCUUCCAACCACUGCUCCAUGUAAAUGUAACUCAUGAAGUUGAUCAGACACAAAACUUCACAAUUGAAAGUGUACCAAACGCUGGGGCAGGAUCCUAAUUUAUUACAGAGCAUCAUGUUACUAUGGUCAGUUCAGUUCAGUUCAGUCGCUCCGUCAUGUCCGACUCUUUGCGACCCCAUGAACCGCAGCACGCCAGGCCUCCCUGUCCAUCACCAACUCCCAGAGUUCACUGAGACUCACGUCCAUCAAGUCAAUGAUGCCAUCCAGCCAUCUCAUCCUCUGUCGUCCCCUUCUCCUCCUGCCCCCAAUCCCUCCCAGCAUCACAGUCUUUUCCAAUGAGUCAGCUCUUCGCAUGAGGUGGCCAAAGUACUGGAGUAGUACCCACAAUUGAUAGAAGUUAACUUCCUCAGUUUCUAUAGCUGCAAAGCUGAAAGUUUACCUGGUUGACUUCAAGAUUCUGUUUCCAACAUUUGCUUAUUCCCAAUGUCCAAUUUGCCUCUUUUUUACUAGGAAAAAAAAUAUCUAUUCUCAUAGUCUUUCUUUUGGGGAGACAAUUGCAUCUUCAAAAAUCUUUUUUUUUUCUUUAAAAGGAAACAACCUGUGUCCAGAAAGAUUCUACUUAGCUGAACAUCACAUCAGAGUAGUCAUGAUUUGUUAGAGACUUGCAGACCUGGGCCUUAAAGACUUUUCUGACCAGAGGCAGAGUAUACAUCACUCUAAAAUUUUCAGAUGUUUACAACAAAAACUUAUUGGGGGGCAGGGGGAAAGAAUAUGGAAUCUAAAAAGAGAAGGAAGGAAAAAAGAUUACCAAGGGAAAAGAUAAAGAUCUUAUAAUCAAAAUUUCAAUGUCUUUAAGAAAAUCUAUUAUACAAAUUAUUCUUAAAGUGUUUAACAAUUUAGGACUUUUACACAGCCUUUGGUCAUUAUCUUUUAAUAUACAUAUGAGUUACAAAGUAACAGAGCCACUUUCUGUUUUGGCUUCUGCUGGUGGUUCUGCAGUAACAAGCCUGUCUGUGAUGUUUGAACUCCGUGGAGCAGUAUAAAAGGAUAUUGAUUGAUGGUUCAGUCUGUUCUUCUAUACAUAUGCAAAUUAUGUUUGUAUUAAUAUUAUCUAGAUUAAAAAGGGAAAACUUCCU
RNAcentral lists this long non-coding RNA (1174 nucleotides) under Bos grunniens (domestic yak). Its description in RNAcentral is "lncRNA (ENSBGRG00000004613.1)". The record is from RNAcentral. Lineage: Eukaryota; Metazoa; Chordata; Mammalia; Artiodactyla; Bovidae.